This is a long non-coding RNA of Oreochromis aureus, 309 nucleotides long. RefSeq lists it as uncharacterized. The record is from RefSeq and is a predicted model, not a curated record. The transcript is spliced from 3 exons. Lineage: Eukaryota; Metazoa; Chordata; Actinopteri; Cichliformes; Cichlidae.
UAUGGAAGGACAUCCAUCGUCCACCUGUUUGAGUGGCGUUGGGCUGACAUUGCUCAAGAGUUACCAGUAGUAGUAGUACUAGUACUUGGUAGUAGCUAGUACCAACGUUUCUUGGGUCCCAAAGUUCUUUGGUGGUGUUCAGAUCUCUCCUCCAAAUGAACACAUUCUGGUGAACAGUCCCUGGAGGCCCCCCGGUGGCAGAGAUACCAGCCAAUCAGCUACAAACUCUGCUCAAGAUCUGGCAGUGAGGCAGAACUGAAAGACAUGAUCACCCGCUGCAACAACGUUGGGGUUAACAUCUAUGUGGAG